GACGAACGCUGGCGGCGUGCUUAACACAUGCAAGUCGAACGGAAAGGCCCUGCUUUUGUGGGGUGCUUGAGUGCGGAAGGGGUGAGAAAAACGCGUGUAACCCCCCCUUGACUUUGGGAUAAAUCUAGGAAACUGGGGAUAUUACAGCAUAGAAGAUCUUGCUCCACGUUGGGGGUAGGAAAGUUACGGCGGUUGGGGCUGGAAUAGCGGCUUAUCCGCUGGUUGGUGGGGUAGUGACUUACAAAGGUUUUGACGGGUAGCCGGCCUGAGAGGGUGACCGGCCACAUGGGGACUGAGAUACGGCCCAGUCUCCUACGGGAGGCAGUAGUGGGGAAUAUUGCACAAUGGGCGGGAGCCUGAGGCAGCAACGCCGGGUGCGGGAUGACGGCCUUCGGGUUGUAAACCGCUUUCGCCUGUGACGAAGCGUGAGUGACGGUAAUGGGUAAAGAAGCACCGGCUAACUACGUG
This 468-nucleotide ribosomal RNA is filed under the name uncultured bacterium. RNAcentral's name for it is "partial 16S ribosomal RNA". It matches the Rfam family "Bacterial small subunit ribosomal RNA", at positions 28 to 507 of the family's 1533-position model. The record is from RNAcentral.